GGCGACACUCAUUGUAGCAGAGAGGCAGGACCAACUGGGAGAGGGUCCUUCUGUGACAACUAUUGCAUCACCGGGCUGUGUGAAGUGACUCAGCUGCCAGAACUCACACAAUAUCAUUCUACACCAAACCUCACGGGAAAAAUGCUCCACGACCCUCAGACUUAAACAGCAGCACUGGCUCCUCCCCAGAUCUCCAGCUCCCUGACCCUCAAACUCCAACUCCAACACCAGCUCUGCCCCAGGUCUCCAGCUCCACAAUCCUCAAACUACAACAGCAGCACCAGCUCCCCUGGGGAUCUCCAGCUCAAUGACUCUCAGACUUGGGAGGCAGCUCCAGCUCCCACCAAGCCUCCAGCUCCACAACCUUCAAACUAGAACAGCAGCACCAGCUACUCCCUGGGUCUCCAGCUCCCUCAAAAUUCAACUAUAGCACUGGCUGUUCCCCAGCGCCACCAGCUCCACAACCCUCAACUUACACGGUGGUAGCACCAGCUCCUCCCUAGGUCUCCAGCUACACGACCGUCAAACUUGAACUGCAACACCAGCUCCUCUUCGGCCUCCAGCUCCACAAUCCUCCAACAACAACAGCAACACCGGCUCCUCCCUGAAUCUCCAGCUCAACAACCCUCAGACUUGAGAGGCAGCACCGGCACCUCCCCAAGGCUCCAGCUCCAUGACCCUCAGAUUUGAACAGCGGUAGCACCAGCUCCUGUCCAGGUCUCCAGCUUCAUGAUCCUUAAACUAGAACAGCAGCACCACCACCUCCCUAGGUUUCCAGCUCCACGACCCUAAGACAUGAAUGGCAGGACCGGGUUCCCCGCUAGGGCUCCAGCUCCAAGACCCACAGAUAUAAACGGCAGCACCGGCUCUUCCUGGGAUCUCCAGCUCCACAGCCUUCAAACACGAUCAGCAGCACCAGCUCCCCUCUGGUUCUCCAGCUCCACAAUCCUCAGACAUGAACAGCAGCACAGGCUCCUCCUUGGGUCUCCAGCUUCUCUACCCUCAGACUAGAACAGCAACACUUGUUCCUCCCUGGGUCUCCAGCUCUUACAAGUCUCAGACUUGAAAGGCAGCACUGGCUCCUCAGAAAGUUUCUGGCUCCAAGCUGGUGCUGCUGUCCUAGUUUGAAGGUCAUGGAGCUGGAGACCCGGGGAGGAACCAUUUGAACAGCAGCACUGGCCCCUCCCCGGGUCUCAGGCUCCACGACCCUCAGACUUAAAAAGCCGUAGUACGGGCUUCUCCCUGGGUCUCCAUCUCUACAACCCUCAGACAUGAACAGCAGCAGCACCGCCCCCUCCCCCUGUCUCCAGUUCCACGAACCUCAAACUACAACAGCAGUACCGGCCUCUCCCCAGGUCUCCAGAUCCACGACCCUCAAAAUAGAAUGGCAUCACCGGCUCCUCCCUGGGUCUCCAGCUCCCAAACUCUCAAACUUCAAUUGACACACCGGACCCUCCCCACAGUUAAACAGCAGCACGGGCUGUUCCCCAAAGCUCCAGAUCCACGACCCUCUGACUUAAAGGGCGAUAGCACCAACUCCUCCCUAAGUCUCCAGUUCCACGACCCUCAAACUACACAGCAGCACCGGCUCCUCCUUGGGUCUCCAGCUUCACUACACUCAGACUAGAAUAGCAACACCGGUUCCUCCCUGGAACUCCAGCUCAAUGACUCUCAGACUUGAAAGGCAGCACCAGCUCCUCAAAAAGGUUCUGGCUCCAAGACCCUCGAACUAGAAUAGCAGCAGCUGCUGCAUCUUGGGUCUCCAGCUCCACAACCCUCAAAGUAGAAAAGCAGCCCUGGCUCCUCCCCGAGUCUCCAACUCCUCAAGUCUGAGGGUUGUAGAGCUGGAGACCCGGGGAGGAGUCAGUGCUGCUGUUCUAGUUUGAGGGUCAUGGAUCUGGAGACCCAGGGUGGAGCCGGUGCUGCUGUUCUAGUGUGAGGGUCAUGGAGCUGGAAGACCCCGGGAGGAGCUGCUGCUGCUGUUCUAGUGUGAGGGUCAUGGAGCUGGAAGACCCCGGGAGGAGCUGCUGCUGCUGUCCUAGUUUGAAGGUCAUGGAGCUGGAGACCCCGGAAUGAGCCAUUUGAACAGCAGCACUGGCCCCUCCCCAGGUCUCAGGCUCCACGACCCUCAGACUUAAAAAGCCGUAGUACGGGCUUCUCCCUGGGUCUCCAGCUCUACAACCCUCAGACAUGAACAGCAGCACCGGCUCCUCCCCCUGUCUCCAGUUCCACGAACCUCAAACUACAACAGCAGUACCGGCCUCUCCCCAGGUCUCCAGAUCCAUGACCCUCAAAAUAGAAUGGCAUCAUCAGCUCCUCCCUGGGUCUCCAGCUCCCAAACCCUCAAACUUCAACUAACACAGCAGAUCCUCCCCACAGUUAAACAGCAGCACGGGCUGUUCCCCAAAGCUCCAGAUACACGACCCUCAGUAGCACUGGCUCCUCCCAAGGUCUCCAGUUCCAUGACCCUCAAACUACACAGCAGCACCGGCUCCUCCCCAGGUCUAUAGCUCCACCACCCUCACACUAGACAUCAAGACUACCUCCUUCCCGCUCUCCAGCUACACGACCCUCAAACUUGAACAGCAGCAGCAGCUCCUCCCUAGAUUUCCAGCUCCAUGACCCUAAACCUGCAACAGCAGCACCAGCUCCUCCCUGUACCUCAAGCCCCAUGACCCUCUGACUUGAUCAACAGCAACAGCAGCUCCCUCCCUGGUCUCCAGCUCCACAACCUUCAGCCUUAAACAGCAGCAGCACCAGCUCCUCCCUGGGUCUCCAGCUCCACAACCCUCAGACUAGAACCGCACCCCUCCUCCCUGAGUCUCCAGCUCCAUGACCGUCAAACUACAACAGCAACACAGGUUCCUGUCUGGAUCUCCAGCUCAGCAACUCUCAGAUGAGGCAGCACCGGCAACUCACCAAGGCUCCAGCUCCACAACCCUCAGAUUUGAAUAAUGGUAGCACCAGCUCCUGUCCAGAUCUCCAGCUUCAUGAUCCUUAAACUAGAACAGCAGCACCGCUGCCUCCCUGGGUUUCCAGCUCCACGACCCUAAGACAUGAAUGGCAGAACCGGCUUCCCACAAGGGUUCCAGCUCCAGGACCCACAGAUUUAAAUGGCAGCACUGGCUCUUCCCAGGAUUUCCAGCUCCACUACCCUCAAACUAGAAGAGGAGCACCGGCUCCUCCCUGGGUCUCCAGCUCCCAAACCCUCAGACAUCACCUGACACACUGGAUCCUCCCCACAGUUACAUAGCAGCACGGGCUGUCCCCGAAAACUCGAGAUCCACAACCCUCUGACUUCAAUGGCGGUAGUACUGGUUCCUCCCUAGGUCUCCAGUUCCAUGACCCUCAAACUACACAGCAGCACCAGCUCCUCCCCAGGUCUACAGCUCCACCACCCUCACACUAGACACCAGGACUACCUCCUCCCCGCUCUCCAGCUACACGACCCGCAGAUUUGAACAGCAGCAGCGUCUCCUCCCUGUACCUCAAGCCCCAUAACCCUCAUAUAUGAACAACAGCAAUACCAGCUAAUGCCUAGGGCUCCAGCUCCAGGAUCCACAGAUUUAAACUGCAGCACCAGCUCGUCCAAGGAUCUCCAGCUCCACCACCCUCAGACUAGAACAAGACCUCUACUCCCUGGGUCGCGAGCUUCCGGACCCUCGAACUAUGAAAACAUUGCUCCUCCCUGGGUCCGCAGCUCCACGACCCUCAAACCAGAUCAAGAUCUCUCCUCCCUGUGUCGUCAGCUUCCUGACCCUUGAACUAUGACAACAUUGCUCCUCCCUGGGUCAGCAGCUCCACAACCCUCAAACCAGAUCAAGAUCUCUCCUCCCUGGGUCGCCAGCUUCCUGACCCUCGAACAACAGAAACAUUACUCCUCCCUGGGUCAGCAGCUCCAUGAUCCUCAAACUAGAAUGAGACCUCUCCUCCCUGCGUCGCCAGCUUCUGGACCCUUGAACUAUGAAAAUAUUGCUCCUCCCUGGGUCGGGAGCUCCAUGACCCUCAAACUAGAACAAGACCUCUCCUCCCUAGGUCUGCAGCUUCCAGUCCCUCAAAUAACAACAUUGCUCCUCCCUGGAUCUGCAGCUCCACGACCCUCAGACUAGAACACGAUCUGUCCUCCCUGGGUCACCAGCUUCCGAACCUUCGAACUAAAACAACAUUGCUCCUCCCUGGGUCUGCAGCUCCACGACCCUCAAACUAGAAAAAGACCUCUCCUCACUGUGUCGCCAGCUUCUGGACCCUCGAACUACAAAAACAUUGCUCCUGCCUGGGUCUGCAGCUCCACGACCCUCAAUCCAGAUCAAGAUCUCUCCUCCCUGUGUCAUCAGCUUCCUGACCCUCGAACUAUGACAGCAUUGCUCCUCCCUGGGCGCACCCUCAAACUAGAACAAGACCUCUCCACCCUGCGUCGCCAGUUUCCGGAGCCUCAAACUAAAACAACCUUGCUCCUCCCUGGGUCUGCAGCUCCACAACCCUCAAACUAGAACCAGACCUCUCCUCCCUGUGUUGCCAGCUUCCUGACCCUUGAACUAUGGAAACAUGGCUCCUCCCUAGGUCUGCAGCUCCACGACCCUCAAACUAAAACAAGAUCUCUCCUCCCUGGGUCUGCAGCUCCACGACCCUCAAACUAAAACAAGAUCUCUCCUCCCUGUGUCAUCAGCUUCCAGUCCCUCAAAUAACAACAUUGCUCCUCCCUGGGUCUGCAGCUCCACGACCCUCAAACUAAAACAAGACCUCUCCUCUCUAGGUCUGCAGCUUCCAGUCCCUCAAAUAACAACAUUGCUCCUCCCUGGAUCUGCAGCUCCAUGACUCUCAGACUACAACAAGAUCUCUCCUCCCUGGGUCACCAGCUUCCGGACCCUCGAACUACGAAAACAUUGCUCCUCCCUGGGUCUCCAGCUCCAUGACCCUCAAACUAAAACAAGAUCUCUCCUCCCUGUGUCAUCAGCUUCCAGUCCCUCAAAUAACAACAUUGCUCCUCCCUGGGUCUGCAGCUCCACGACCCUUAAACUAGAACAAGACCUCUCCUCACUGUGUCGCCAGCUUCCGGACCCUUGAACUAUGAAAACAUUGCUCCUCCCUGGGUCCGCAGCUCCACGACCCUCAAACUAAAACAAGAUCUCUCCUCCCUAGGUCUGCAGCUUCCAGUCCCUCAAAUAACAACAUUGCUCCUCCCUGGAUCUGCAGCUCCACGACCCUCAGACUAGAACAAGACCUCUCCUCCCUGAGUCACCAGCUUCCGAACCUUCGAACUAAAACAACAUUGCUCCUCCCUGGGUCCGCAGCUCCAUGACCCUCAAACUAGAACAAGACCUCUCCUCCCUAGGUCUGCAGCUUCCAGUCCCCAAAUAACAACAUUGCUCCUCCCUGGAUCUGCAGCUCCACGACCCUCAGACUAGAACAAGAUCUCUCCUCCCUGGGUCACCAGCUUCCGGACCCUGGAACUACAAAAACAUUGCUCCUCCCUGGGUCUGCAGCUCCACAACCCUCAAACUAAAACAAGAUCUCUCCUCCCUGUGUUGCCAGCUUCCGGACCCUCGAACUAUGACAACAUUGCUCCUCCCUGGGUCUGCAGCUCCACGACCCUCAAAGCAGAUCAAGAUCUCUCCUUCCUGUGUCAUCAGCUUCCUGACCCUUGAACUAUGACAACAUUGCUCCUCCCUGGGUCUGCAGCUCCAUGACUCUCAAACUAGAACAGCAGCACCAGCUCCUUCCUGGACCUCCAGGUCAAUGACUCUCAGACUUCAAAGGCAGCAGCAGCUCCACCCCCAGGCUCCAGCUCUAAAACCCUCAGAUGUGAGCAGUGGCAGCACCAGCUCCUUUCUGCGUCUCCGGCUUCAUGAUCCUUAAAUUAGAACAGCAGCGCCAUCUUCUCCCUGCGUCUCCAGCUCCAGGAACCUCAAACUGCAACAGGAGCACCUGUUCCUCUGGGAUUUUCACCUCCACGACCCUGAGGUGUCAGUGGCAGCACUGGCUCCUCCCCUGGGCUGCAGCUCCAGAACCCUCAAGAAUAAUCCCUUCUCAUGAAAUGUAGCAGUCAGGAAAACUGCAGAGGAAACAGCACCUUGUCUCAUUUGAACAAGACAUCUGGAGCCUGGAGAUCCCAGGGCUGAUAUGGCAACAGUGCGAUGCCCCCCAUGGAUAUGGGGUCGUUCCAUGUUUCUUCCCUGCCUUCCUCAGCAUGUUAACCUUUCAGCUUCACAUCCGCAUCCUCAUGGUCACAAGAUGGCUGACAAGCUCCAGCUCUCCCAUCCCUAGAAAGACUUCAGCUGGCAAAGCAACGCAAAUGGCUGAGCGUCGAGGAUAGAAGUGGCUGAACAGCGAGCAGAGAAGCAACUGAGCAUCGGAGGUUGGAGAUAGAUGCAGCUAACUUCAGAUACUGUGGUUUUAGAGAGGGGCCUGGCCAGAGACGGCUGGGUUCCAGGGACAGACCACCUUCCCAUCCCCUUUCCAGCCUCCCUUUCCACUGAGAGCUGCUCGCUGCUCAAUAAAGUCUUCUACAUUCAUCACCCUUCAAA
This 6524-nucleotide long non-coding RNA is filed under the name Homo sapiens (human). RNAcentral describes it as "HSALNT0401417". The record is from RNAcentral. Lineage: Eukaryota; Metazoa; Chordata; Mammalia; Primates; Hominidae.